This is a long non-coding RNA of Gopherus agassizii (Agassiz's desert tortoise), 3534 nucleotides long. The record is from Ensembl. Lineage: Eukaryota; Metazoa; Chordata; Testudines; Testudinidae.
GGUAUCCCAUACGAAUUCCCUCCUUGGGUAUCCACUGAUUCUUCCUUUUGCUGCUCUUGGUGACAGGCCUCUGGCACUCCACCCCACAGCUGGAUUGCACCUCCUCUGUGUGCCAUAGAUCUGGAUCUGUGAGAUUCCCCUUGGAGGCUCCAGAGAAAGUGCAGUAUGUAAAGCAAACAUCAGUACCUGAGACUAAGCUCCACUGACGACCCUUCAAGGGAGGGCACCCCCACUCCCUUAUACCACCGGGCCAUAAAUGUCCCACCAGAAGCAGAGCAGCUUUCCUGGCCUGCCGUCCCAGUACAGCAGUGAUGGAUGCUUCCAGCACGGCACUGACAUGGGGGCCUCAGGCUGGGCUGGCCAGGAUUCUGAGAGCUAUAGAAGAAGCCCAUGGGCAUCUCGACCCUGUUCCGUGUCGGAGCUGGAGAGGAGCUACGCAAACACCUACCCCUUGUCAGGGGUCCCCUUCAGAGGAGAGAACCCUCUGAACGGGACGCCAGGACCCUGGGAGCCCGACCACUCAAACAGCACAUGGAGAGAGUCCAGCAGGGGCUUUUUUAGCCCCAAGCACAUCGAAAGAGCCAGGUCCUUGAGCCCCUUGCGAGGGAUCCACUCCAUAGAUAGUGGGAUAGUUUUAACCAAUGGCAUGGAAUGUGCCUGGAAACAUUCCAGCCCACCACUCAGAAGGAGGCAUUCUUUAUCUCGUCUCCCGGACUGGGACACAGAAGAAUAUGGUCCCAUGCGGCCAUUGGCUCGAAGGGUGUGGAGUGGAUUGGAGCUGGACCUGCGGGCAUCUUUACCAGAGAAUGUGCAGAGGACAGCAGGGCUGAGGCCCUCUCUGCGGGAUGCUCCUGGGGUGCUAGAGGGACAAGCAGAAGAGCUGCAGAAGCUGGAACUCAACAGGGUGAAGUUUGAGCUGUUUUCCAUUAAGCAGAAGCAGAUGGAGAGCUCCGUCACCCAGCUAGAGAAGGAAAAGAGCUGGUUGGACCUGUCCCGCUAUGAAGACCAGAAACAGAGAGGGGACCUGCAAGAGAAGAUCCUUAAUUUGGAGAUGGAGGUGGUGAAGGCCAAAUCCUGCUUGAGCAGAAUGAGCUGCCGCUCAGUCUCCCCAAGUCCCAGCCAGAGGCUGUCUGCGGAGAAGGAGGAGCUGAAUCGAGAAAUGACAGCUCUUCAAGAAACCCUGAGUGAUUACAAGGAGCACAUGAAGGUUCUGGAAGCAGAACGGGAUGAAAUGACCCAGCAGCUGAACUCAGCCAAAGAGGGGCAACAGCUGGCUUUCAGCCAGACCAGUGAGGCCAACCAGAGAGUGACAGACUCGUUCCAGGUGACAACAGCACUGCACAAGGAAAUUGGCAGACUCCAAGCGGCUUACAGCAGCACCAGUCGGGAGAAGGAGCUGCUGUCUUCCAAGGUGGCCAGGCUGGAGGAGAGAGUAUCUGAGCUCACCAUGAAGCUGAAGCCUGCCCUGGCCAACAGGGAGAGGUUCCUAAAGGAGAAAGUAGAGCUGCACCUGCAGGUGCAGGAUCUCACCCUGCAGUUGGAACGUGCACAGUGGAGCCGAGAGGGAUUCAACAGCCAAGUGUCAGACCUCCACCUGGAGCUGGUGAAUGCCAAGGCCCAGGCCAACCACCAGGACCAGGAGAAGGUCCUGAUGAAGGAGGAACUGGUGACUCUCAGACAGGUAAAUGAACAGCUCUCCUCUGAACUGGGUCAGAGCCACCAGAGACUGGAGACCUCCACGGGUCAGCUCCACCACCUGGAGGCUGAGAAGAAGAUCCUGACCAAUAGGAUCCAGGCCCUGGAGACUGAGUGCAUGCAGCUGCUGGGUGAACAGGAGGCGCUGAAGUCACAAAUGCAGAGGGAUCCUGGAGGCCAGGGGAUUGAUAUGGCAGCUCUUCAAACAACCUGCGAAGGGCUCAGGGCGUCACAGUCCGUGUUGCAGGCGGAGAAGGAAGCCUUGCAGGCUCUCUGCAUGGAGCUGGAGGCUGCCUUGCAGCAUAAGCAGGAGGAGUUGUGUGGCCAGCUCGCAGAGCAGCAGCAGGUCUCCCAGCACUGGAAGGACAGAUGGAACCAGGCGGCCAUGGCCCUAAAAACCAAAGAGGAGGAACUGGAGCAAGCACACAUGGCGAGUCAGAGCUUGUCUGCCAAGCAUACUGAGCUCCUGGAGGACUGUGAGCUGCUCCAGGUGGAUGUGGAGGAGCUGGCCGAGCUGAGAGGCACUGUGUGCAGCCUGAAGGAAGAAAACAGAGACUUAAUGAGACAGCUGAGGGAGCAGCAACAGGCCACCCAGCUGCUACAGCUACAGCAAGAGCUGGCUACAAACACAUCUGUACUGGGAUCAGGCUCACAGAGGACUUCAGAACAAGAGGCCCUUUACAAAGAGAUCCAGGAAACCCACGACAGGAUAAAGAGGCUGGAGAAUGAAAAAGCUGAGAUGAAGUCCGAGAUCAGGAAACUGAAGCUGGACGGCGCUUCCGUCCUGCGGAUUGAACUGGAUGCCUGUAAGCAGGAGCUGGAGCUGGAAAAGAGCCGCAGUCAGGCUCUGAAUGGCAAAGUGCAGCUGCUGCAGUCCCGGCGCCGGGACAAUGCUACUCCACCACAUGAGCAGAUCAAGUUCCCAGCAGCCUCCAAUACCACAGCAACAUCUGGCUUAGAGAUGGAUUGUCCUGUGUCCUCUCCAAGAAGUUCUCAGAUUUCCAGUCCUCAAGGAGAACCGUUGGCCCUGGAGAGCCCCCGUGGCUUGAUGGCCUCAGGGGGCCUGUCUGAGGUGGAGAGCCUGAAGCAGAAGCUCCAGAGGGAGACUGCAUCCCGGCAGGAAAAGGAGGCACUGAUCUGGACUCUGAGAGAGGCCUCCCUGGAGGAAGUAGACACAGAGUUAGUGCUGGUCCGAAAAGAGCUACAGAAGGUUUGGGACAUGCUGAAAACCCGUGAUACGGCACUGGAAGAACAACGGCUGGAGUUAGAAUCGUCCAGGAGCCAGUACACUGAAUGCAGCUCAGAAAAGCUGAGACUGGAACAACUCGUCGCCUGUCUGGAGCACCAGCUGGCGGAGAGAGAACAGGCCUUGAGGCACCUUCAACAAGCAAGUGAGAUGGAAAAAAACAAGCUGGAGAUUCAAGCCUCUUCAUUAGAGCUGAAGCUGGCAGAAGUGGAGGUCCUGAGAGACGACGCCCAGCGACGCAACCAGGCAUCGGGCCCUCUAGAGGUACAGAACUCGGGCCCCAGGCAGGGCCGUGCCAGCCACUCCCAGGGGAAGUGCUCCCGGUGCGAUGCUUUUCUGGCCCAGCUGAACAAGAUGAUUCAAAGCUGUACAGAGAAAGGGGCUGUGCUGCAGGAGGACCAGGCCUUGACCUACCUGUGUGAGCUGCAGGGGCUCCUCAAGGGGCUGAGUCCGUGCGCGGCCAGCCAAGUCACAAGGAGCCCCCAGGAAAAGAGCCAGACCCUGGAACAGCAGCAUCAGUUGGUGACUGAGCAGGUAACAAACCAUGCAUUCAGCUUUGUCUCAGGCUGUCUGCCUCAUCAUAGUUUUUAUGC